UGCGCACAUUCUGUCUCGGCUUGCGAGUACUUUGACAAGAGCUCUUACACAUAAUGGGAAGCACUAUGAACUCUGUAAUCAAAAAUCUAAAUAAUAAACAUACAUAAAUAAUCCUUGAAUAAAGUUCACUCUCAUCAAUACACUCUAGCACACAAAAUAUUUUACUCUUUAAAACAGUACAACUUGCUAUAUACUGGAUUUCUGGAUUUUAAGACAAUUGUAGAACAAUCUUUGUAGUUUUGUUCCUGUUUUUUUUCCAGUGGAAUAAUUUAAGAAUGAGAAGACUAGUUUCAACAGCUAUUACUCAGUCGAAAAGUUCAUAGGUUUAUGUUGCUUGACUAAUGAUACACUUGCAUACAUUUUCAUGAACUCCAGUCUGUUUUAAGUUUAAUACAAAUACAAUUUUUUAAACACACACGUGAACACAAAGAACAGGUCACUCUGACAUAAAUAUAUCACAGCUAUAAAUUCUAAGUAUUUGCAUACAUACUGAGCAGCCAUUUUAUAAGCACACACGAACAUGCCAGCUUCAUUGCAUACAUAUGCUUCCUUAUAUGCCUUCAUAGAUAUACUGCUUCAAACUAACAAACACGAUGGAAAUUUAAUAAGAAAAGCAAAUAAAAUUUCCCUCAAAACUGCACAAUUAUAAAACUGAAAUGCAUCACCUACAUUCCCUAAUAACAAAUGUAUUACUUAUCAUUGUGGAGUUUAUUACAUACAAGGUAAUGGAACUAGUCCUCUCUGCUAAGUCAAAUAUGACAGAUCUCUUUUAGCAAAUUCAUAGGAGAUCCCUUGAGCUAUUUGUGAAGAUGGUGCUCGACCGUUCUAUUUAAAUGACAAAUUUAAUACAGACAUUAUGCAAUAAUAUAGGUGCUCUGACAGAGAUCAUAAGAUGAUGCAGACAAAGACACGUUUGCAUGCCUCUACAUAUCUUGCGACAUGACUCUUGAGAAGAUAAGUUACUUCAAACACACAAUUAUUGUUUGCAGUAGCCUCUUUUACUUUUGGUGCCUCCACUCCAAAUUAAAAUGUUAAAAUAAUUGUUGUGGCUACAUGUAUAUGCAAGUAAUUGCUUACCAUAGCCUCUUCAUAUCACAAUAUGGGAUAAAAUUCCUUGUUUUUGUCAACUGAUUUCAACACGGGNNNNNNNGUCAACUGAUUUCAACAAGGGACAUAUACGUAUGUUAGAAAUCUCUGGCAAUAAUUUCACUUAUCAAGCAACAAUACACCUCUUAGACUUCCUUAACUUCCCCAUCUACCAUCCACAAUGUGCUGAAAUACCAUGUCAUGCCAUCAGGAGUGAAACAUGGCUUUUAUCUCAAUGUAUUGGAGCAGAGUUCUAAUGACCAAAUUCUACAGAUUCUAUUUGGCAUAUGUAAUAUUACAAUUUUAAUUAUGAGUAUUCCUCAUCUUUUGUGGGACUCAGUUCUCACACACACACACACACACACACACACACACAUUUACUCAUUGUUUUUGUAAGUGCCAAACAGAAAUUAACUUCAUGAUAGAGGCGUUAAAAUGUUGUAUUGGGCCACUCUGAAUUCUUAUAUUUUGACUAUUCAGUUUAAAAACAAGUAUUGUGCUUGCACAUUUAAGUUUGUGCAAGAAAUUCAAAGUCUGCAAUUAAAUUUUGUUACCAGUAGGAAUUAUUACUAUAUGAAGCUGAUCUUAUACUUUUAAUACUUUUUGUUCAGAAUAUUUUUACAUAUUCAUUGUACUUUGUUGCAUAGUGGUAUGAUAUUUAUAGAUCUUUAUUUGAUUAUUGGACACAUUAUUACCAAGAGAAAACUAAAUUCAGAGAUGCCAUACACGUGCCAAUCACUGUUAAGAACUUCUGUUUUACUUUGCUACAUUUGUGGGGCAAAAGCAGUUGUUUAAUUGAUGUUUUUUUUACCAAAGUAGAAUGGAACCAGAGCAAUAUUGUAGCAUUUUAUAAUGCAUGAGAACACUUAUCUACUGUGUGGGUGUGGGUGUGCAUGUAGAGGAAGGAAAGAAUUGCAUCUCUGUACUGGUUUUGUGUGCACAUGUACAUAUUUCAUUAUGAGCAUGUGUAGUUAGUGAGAAGUGCAUAGUUUCUGAUUUUCAGUGAGGUAUUGUCUACUGCUGAAAGAGUCACACCAUUCUAACUGUUUUCUGUCCAUUGUUAAAUUUAUGCAGACUGAUUCUUAAAUAGACUAUACAUUAUAUCAUCAGGCCACAUAAUUGUCAUAAUGUUUUAUUUAGGUGACUUUAGAUUUGUGUUAUUACAUUAAUAGUAUUAAGGUGUUUAAAAAGAGAAAUGUAUUAAAUCAGCCACUCAAGACUCGUCUGAACAUUCAUUUUUGUAUAAAGUGUUUGUUGCAUAUUAACAAUGGGGUGUUUGUUUAUUAUUAUGAUUAUUAUAUUAUUAUUACAAUAAUGUUAUUGUCGAUGUCUGCUGGUCAUAAGUUUUUUUUUUUUUUUUUUUUUUUUUUUUUUUUUUUUUU
RNAcentral lists this long non-coding RNA (2468 nucleotides) under Locusta migratoria (migratory locust). RNAcentral's name for it is "partial Lnc27908". The record is from RNAcentral. Lineage: Eukaryota; Metazoa; Arthropoda; Insecta; Orthoptera; Acrididae.